GGUGUUCCCUUCGGGGACGCUGAGACAGGUGGUGCAUGGCUGUCGUCAGCUCGUGUCGUGAGACGUUGGGUUAAGUCCCGCAACGAGCGCAACCCUUGUCAUUAGUUGCCAUCAUUAAGUUGGGCACUCUAAUGAGACUGCCGGUGACAAACCGGAGGAAGGUGGGGAUGACGUCAAGUCAUCAUGCCCCUUAUGACCUGGGCUACACACGUGCUACAAUGGACGGUACAACGAGAAGCGAACCUGCGAAGGCAAGCGGAUCUCUUAAAGCCGUUCUCAGUUCGGACUGUAGGCUGCAACUCGCCUACACGAAGCUGGAAUCGCUAGUAAUCGCGGAUCAGCACGCCGCGGUGAAUACGUUCCCGGGCCUUGUACACACCGCCCGUCACACCAUGAGAGUCUGUAACACCCAAAGCCGGUGGGAUAACCUUUAUAGGAGUCAGCCGUCUAAGGUAGGACAGAUGAUUAGGGUGAAGUCGUAACAAGGUAGCCGUAGGAGAAC
Molecule: ribosomal RNA, 502 nt
Filed under: uncultured bacterium
Lineage: Bacteria
Description: bacterial SSU rRNA
Rfam family: Bacterial small subunit ribosomal RNA
Source: RNAcentral